GCAAGAUAGAGGAGAAAAUUAUUGGUAGCAACCUUCAACACAUAUGUGGCAAGGUCUAUUUGACUUGUGGUGUUGAAUCUGUUGUUCCCAAAUUUCACUUGCUAUGCCAUAUGUCAUAUUUUUUUCACAUGCUGUCCCAUGUUGAUGCAACUGCAAGUAAUUCUAGGCAAAUCCCAAGUUCAAGCAACCCAUUAGAAUCAAAUAAAAUAAAGUUUGUCAUGCCUUUUUGCAAUAAUUACAUGCCCUUCAUUUCUGAAUCUGAAAUUAAGCAAAAG
This 275-nucleotide unclassified non-coding RNA is filed under the name Hevea brasiliensis (rubber tree). The record is from RNAcentral. Lineage: Eukaryota; Viridiplantae; Streptophyta; Magnoliopsida; Malpighiales; Euphorbiaceae.